AGAAGGCGAGACCAAUGCCACCUCCAUCAUUCGAACAAGAAAUCCCACUUAUCCACAAGUAGCCGCCAUAGCUCCCGUCCAACCAAGUCAACAACAACCAUUUGCAAUUCCUGUUCAAACUCAACAACAUCAAUGCUACCAACAACCACAAUAACAACAAUAUCAACAACAACGACAAAGGAUGUGAAGGCCCGAGAGAAGAUUUGACAUAGUUCCCAUGCCAUAUAGCCACAUCCUAC
Molecule: long non-coding RNA, 239 nt
Filed under: Lathyrus oleraceus (garden pea)
Lineage: Eukaryota; Viridiplantae; Streptophyta; Magnoliopsida; Fabales; Fabaceae
Description: Pisum sativum (pea) long non-coding RNA (PSAT_LNC016358)
Source: RNAcentral